RNAcentral lists this transfer RNA (58 nucleotides) under Loxodonta africana (African savanna elephant). It matches the Rfam family "tRNA", at positions 8 to 63 of the family's 71-position model. Rfam says of the family: Transfer RNA (tRNA) molecules are approximately 80 nucleotides in length. The record is from Rfam by way of RNAcentral. Lineage: Eukaryota; Metazoa; Chordata; Mammalia; Proboscidea; Elephantidae.
UGGCCCAGUGGUUAAAGCGCUUGGCUGCUAACCAAAAGGUUGGUGGUUCGAACCCACC